This 107-nucleotide ribosomal RNA is filed under the name Enterobacter hormaechei. RNAcentral's name for it is "partial 23S ribosomal RNA". It matches the Rfam family "Bacterial large subunit ribosomal RNA", at positions 1 to 107 of the family's 2925-position model. The record is from RNAcentral. Lineage: Bacteria; Pseudomonadati; Pseudomonadota; Gammaproteobacteria; Enterobacterales; Enterobacteriaceae.
GGUUAAGCGACUAAGCGUACACGGUGGAUGCCCUGGCAGUCAGAGGCGAUGAAGGACGUGCUAAUCUGCGAAAAGCGCCGGCGAGGGGAUAUGAACCUUUGACCCGG